RNAcentral lists this transfer RNA (75 nucleotides) under Candidatus Woesearchaeota archaeon. RNAcentral's name for it is "tRNA-Arg". It matches the Rfam family "tRNA". From Rfam's summary of the family: Transfer RNA (tRNA) molecules are approximately 80 nucleotides in length. Lineage: Archaea; Nanobdellati; Candidatus Woesearchaeota. The record is from RNAcentral.
GGGCCUGUAGCUCAGCCUGGAUAGAGCAGCAGCCUUCUAAGCUGAAGGUCGGGGGUUCGAAUCCCUCCAGGCCCG